This 496-nucleotide ribosomal RNA is filed under the name uncultured bacterium. RNAcentral's name for it is "bacterial SSU rRNA". It matches the Rfam family "Bacterial small subunit ribosomal RNA", at positions 30 to 515 of the family's 1533-position model. The record is from RNAcentral.
AUUGAACGCUGGCGGUAUGCUUAACACAUGCAAGUCGAACGGAAACGAUACUAGCUUGCUAGUAGGCGUCGAGUGGCGGACGGGUGAGUAACGCGUAGGAAUCUACCUGAUAGUGGGGGAUAGCCCGGAGAAAUUCGGAUUAAUACCGCAUAAUCUAUUCGUAGUAAAGUGGGGGACUUUCGAGCCUCACGCUAUCAGAUGAGCCUGCGUAAGAUUAGCUUGUUGGUAGGGUAAAAGCCUACCAAGGCGACGAUCUUUAGCUGGUCUGAGAGGAUGAUCAGCCACAUCGGGACUGAGACACGGCCCGAACUCCUACGGGAGGCAGCAGUGGGGAAUAUUGGACAAUGGGGGCAACCCUGAUCCAGCAAUACCGCGUGUGUGAAGAAGGCCUGAGGGUUGUAAAGCACUUUCAAUUGUGAAGAAAAGUUAACGGUUAAUAACCGUUAGCCUUGACGUUAACUUUAGAAGAAGCACCGGCUAACUCCGUGCCAGCAGG